RNAcentral lists this unclassified non-coding RNA (673 nucleotides) under Hevea brasiliensis (rubber tree). Lineage: Eukaryota; Viridiplantae; Streptophyta; Magnoliopsida; Malpighiales; Euphorbiaceae. The record is from RNAcentral.
CAAUGAUUCCCGAGACAGUGAAAACACCUCCAAUUAUGGCGCAGAUAUUUGUCAGGAAGUGAAGGAACGAUCGAUUUUCUUCGGUGAAAAUGACCUUGAUUGGGGAGAAGUCAUAAAAGAAGUAUACCCCAGGAGGGGUUUGAGGAUGAACAUUGGCAUCUCUGAAGUGCUCUGUCACCGAAAACUGAUUUGUUUGAAUCUGAUGUCCUCUUAUAUCAGUGUAGACUGUAGGAACAACUUUGAUGAAAUACUGGUACAUGCCAGACGAAGAUUGUUGAGUCCACUGCACACGAUCAAGAGGAUUUAUAACACCAGGGAACUCUUUGCCAAAGGAUAGUUUGUUUAUCUUAUGGCUUAUAUUGUAACUUUCUGUUUGGAAAGCAAACAAGUCUUGAAGAAAAUUUUUGGCGUGGUGAAAGCCUUUUCCAGGGGCAAAGUGAAAAUUCCCAGCAACUUUACCAACUUCAACGAAACCUUUGAGAAUGCAUCCCUCGCCUUCUUCCUCUUUGACUUUUUCAAUGAAGCCCUCUCUCUUGCACUGGUCAAUAAGAUCUGGGUUUGUUAGGCCCCAUCCUUUCUUUUGAUAUGCUUGACGAACUUCUUCACAGGAGUUACAGCAAUCAUCAUCUGACGCUUCUGCACCAAAACAAGAACCACAAUACGUCUCAUUGUG